RNAcentral lists this ribosomal RNA (439 nucleotides) under uncultured bacterium. RNAcentral's name for it is "partial 16S ribosomal RNA". It matches the Rfam family "Bacterial small subunit ribosomal RNA", at positions 338 to 795 of the family's 1533-position model. The record is from RNAcentral.
CCUACGGGUGGCAGCAGUGGGGGAUAUUGCACAAUGGAGGAAACUCUGAUGCAGCGACGCCGCGUGAGGGAAGACGGUCUUCGGAUUGUAAACUUCUGUCUUUGGGGAAGAAAAUGACGGUAUCUAAAGAGUAAGCUCCGGCUAACUACGUGCCAGCAGCCGCGGUAAUACGUAGGGAGCGAGCGUUGUCCGGAAUUACUGGGUGUAAAGGGAGCGUAGGCGGGCGAGAAAGUUGAAUGUUAAAUCUACGGGCUUAACUGUUAGCUGCGUUUGAAACUUUUUGUCUUGAGUGAAGUAGAGGUAGGCGGAAUUCCUAGUGUAGCGGUGAAAUGCGUAGAGAUUAAGAGGAACACCAGUGGCGAAGGCGACCUGCUAGGAUUUAACUGACGCUGAGGCGCGAAAGCGUGGGGAGCAAACAGGAUUAGAUACCCCAGUAGUC